UGGGGAAUAUUGCACAAUGGGGGAAACCCUGAUGCAGCGACGCCGCGUGAGUGAAGAAGUAUUUCGGUAUGUAAAGCUCCAUCAGCAGGGAAGAAAAUGACGGUACCUGACUAAGAAGCCCCGGCUAACUACGUGCCAGCAGCCGCGGUAACACGUAGGGGGCGAGCGUUGUCCGGAAUUACUGGGCGUAAAGGGUGCGUAGGCGGUCUGUUAAGUCAGAUGUGAAAGACCUGGGCUCAACCCGGGAUGUGCAUCUGAGACUGGCGGACUUGAGUGCAGGAGAGGGAAGUGGAAUUUCUAGUGUAGCGGUGGAAUGCGUAGAUAUUAGGAAGAACACCAGUGGCGAAGGCGGCUUCCUGGACUGUAACUGACGCUGAGGCACGAAAGCGUGGGGAGCGAACAGG
This 404-nucleotide ribosomal RNA is filed under the name uncultured prokaryote. Its description in RNAcentral is "bacterial SSU rRNA". It matches the Rfam family "Bacterial small subunit ribosomal RNA", at positions 355 to 776 of the family's 1533-position model. The record is from RNAcentral.